CAAGGGCAUACCCGAGACCUCACUGAACCGCGAGGGAAGAACCGCCAAAAGCGUGGAGGGCGUGGGAGAGGCGAGCGAAAUCGGACGUCGGGAGAGAGCGCGAUUUAGGAAGAAGUGCGCCGAGAGAAUGGAGCCCUGAGAUGAGGCCGUGGAGGGGAGAGAGAAAGGCCGUCGUCGGGAGGGAGCAACGGUCGUCGGAGGAAUCGCUAGACCAGAAGGAGCGUCGGAGGAGGAAGAGAG
This 240-nucleotide long non-coding RNA is filed under the name Eucalyptus grandis. RNAcentral describes it as "long non-coding RNA (EGRA_LNC002631)". Lineage: Eukaryota; Viridiplantae; Streptophyta; Magnoliopsida; Myrtales; Myrtaceae. The record is from RNAcentral.